Molecule: ribosomal RNA, 790 nt
Filed under: Bacillus sp. (in: firmicutes)
Lineage: Bacteria; Bacillati; Bacillota; Bacilli; Caryophanales; Bacillaceae
Description: bacterial SSU rRNA
Rfam family: Bacterial small subunit ribosomal RNA
Source: RNAcentral
UGCGUAGAGACUAGGGGAUGAUACACCCAGGUGGUGGAUGGGCGACUUUUUUGGUCUCUUAGUUUACAGUUGACGGCGCCAAAAAGUCGGCGGUGCAACACAGGAUGUUGCUUCCACUGCUAGUACGCCUCGUAAACGAUGACAUGGUAAGUGUUAGAGGGUUUCUGCACUCUAGUGUCGAAGUUAACCCAUUAAGCACACGCCUGGGGAGUACGGCCGCAAUCAGGAAUUCAAAGGAAUUGACGGGGGUUUGCACAAGCGGUUUAGCAUUGGUUUAAUUCGAAGCAACGCGAAGAACCUACCAGGUCUUGACAUCCUUGGAAAACCCUAGAGAUAGGGUCAUCCUUUGGGAGCAGAGUGACAGGUGGUGCAUUGCUGUCGUCAGGACGUGUAGGGAGAGAAUGGGUUAAGCACCGCAACGAGGGCAAUCCUUCAUACUUUUUGCCAUCCCUUAAGUGGGCACUCUAAGGCGUCCCCCGGGGGCAAACCGGGGGAAGGUGGGGAAGUCGUCAAAUUCUCCUUCUCAGUUUGACUUGGGAUACACACGUGCUUCAAUCGACGGUUCAAAGAGUUGCAAGACCGCGAGGUGGAGAUAAUUUCAUAAAACCGGAAUCAGUUCGGAAAUUAGGAUGCAACUGGCUUACAUGAAUCUGGAAUCGUUAGUAAUCUUGGCUGGGCAUGUCGCGGUUAAUAGGUUACCGGGCCCUGUACUCACCCCCCCUCCCUCCACGAGAGUUUUAGCACCCGAAGUCGGUCGGUACUAGUCAGAGAGAGCAGCCUGCUAGACAAU